AUAUACCUUAGCUAGGUUUGUUUUAUGCUACUUUAAAAAAGCAUUUGUUCAUAAAUCCAUGAACCAUCUAGAUUUAUUGUAACAGGCCCCUAUUUUUGGCAAAUCCAACAUACAGAAAGUCCACAUAGAAUUGAAAAACAAAACCAUCUUCAAACAGGAGAAUAUUUUGGCAUUACAAAAGGAUUCAAGGCAGGGUUCCGAGGCUCUCACAUGCAGUGUUUUCUGAAAUAUACAUGUGUAUAUGGUGGCCCUUAAGAUUUUUAGUGCAUGCAAAUGGAUAGUCAAAUGAUUAAGUUAUGGAUGAUUUAAUGGCUUUUUCUAAACUAUUAAAUUAUCUGAUAUCUCUGCGUGAUUCUUAACAUGGAUUAGGUCAUUUAAUCAUACGAUCACUAUGAGAUGUAAUACUAAUCUACUUAUGUUACAGAUAAGGAAACUGAGGCUUAGGAAGAUCAAAUCCCUUCAACGGGCUGUGUGGGCUUGGAAUAGCAAAUUCAGGAUUUAAUGCAGACAAUCUGAAAACAGAGCCUGGCUUUAAACUGCUUUGGAUUCCAUGUCACUCCAGGAUAUGAGCUUUGGGAGAACAGGGUCUUUGAGCAGUGAAGACUGGAAAGCUAAGAAAGACCUCACAUUAUGUUUUGUCUCAACAUUUUUAAGGUGCAGUAGAAUUGGAUGUGAGUUCUAUGAAUAGUUGUAUGUAUUGGGUGUUCUGUUGUUGGAUGACAGAUCAGAAAGACAAGAAAUCUGAAUGCCUGAUACACAAAGGAGACACCAAACAUUCCACAGACUAUGUUCCUCUUGAGGUCUGUGUAAGCAGUACAUGUAAAUGUUUCAAUUCUUGUUACUUUGUUUUUAUUCAUUAAACACAGUCUAAAUUAAUUAUUACUGAUUUUUUCCUUCCCAGAUCCAUGCCCCCAACAGCUUCUAUUAAUUUUCUCAAUCCAAGAAGAAGAAGAAGCAUAUUUCAAGUGAGGAAAUCUUAUACUCAGUUUGGCUAACCCACAAAAGAGGUGUCUGAAACCUGCCACCGAGUUGAGGGAUUUUUGAAUGCAUUGUACGCAUGAAUCUCUAAUAGAAAAGAAUGAAGCAGGGUUGGUUUUUCAUAUUCUGUGGUCAAGUCAUGCAUAUUAACAGAAUGUUUUCUUUUCACAUCUCUCUCUGCCUGUCCUCUGUAAGAGUUCAGAGAGGAAGGCUU
Molecule: long non-coding RNA, 1192 nt
Filed under: Canis lupus familiaris (dog)
Lineage: Eukaryota; Metazoa; Chordata; Mammalia; Carnivora; Canidae
Description: lncRNA (ENSCAFG00040016570.1)
Source: RNAcentral